This is a non-coding RNA of Pleuronectes platessa (European plaice), 643 nucleotides long. The record is from the annotation of a RefSeq genome assembly. NCBI's taxonomy places the organism in Eukaryota, Metazoa, Chordata, Actinopteri, Pleuronectiformes, Pleuronectidae.
GGAGAGAGAAUGCAAAGUGUGCGAGGGGUAGAGUUGUGAGUCGGGGCUGAACGGGGCCGAGACUCCUCCUUCUAAUCUGAGUCCAAACACAGAGUCACAGCUUCUUUCCUCUUUCUACUCACAGAGACUCACACUGCAGAUAUGAAGCCUCUGUUCAUCUCACUGCUGCUGGCUGCUCUGUGUCCUGAAGGCAGAGCACAACAAGACAUGGUGCAGCAACCAGGAGGAGACGUGACUGCGACUGGAGGAGAAGCAGCAACACUUGGUUGUCGAUACGUCAGCAGCACAACAAGUGUGUCUCUCCUCUGGUACAAACAGGAAGGAACCAACAACCCAACAUUCAUCCUGAUCCGCUUUCAACUGGGAGAAGGAAAAACAGCAGAUGACUUCAGAGAGAGAUUUUCAUCCACACUGAAUUCCACCUCGAGAUCAUCUCCUCUGAAGAUCCAGAAGCUGCAGCCGUCUGACUCUGCUGUGUACUACUGUGCUCUGAGUUCCACAGUGACAGGAAACUACACAACUCUGUACAAAAACCUGUGGAGCAAACACACAACUCCUCAUCCUCCACUAGAGGGAGUCACUCACUGUUAAACCUCAGUGGUUUGUGAUGACGUUUGUUUCACAAUAAAACAAAUUCUAACAA